This 127-nucleotide ribosomal RNA is filed under the name uncultured eukaryote. RNAcentral's name for it is "partial 18S ribosomal RNA". It matches the Rfam family "Eukaryotic small subunit ribosomal RNA", at positions 1299 to 1457 of the family's 1831-position model. The record is from RNAcentral.
UCGUGGAAUAGUCUGUCUGGCUAAUUCCAAUAUCGAGCGAGACCUCAGCCUGCUAAUUAGAUGGUGGAAUUUCGAUUCUUAUAGAGGGACUAUCGGUUUACAGCCGAAGGAAGUUUGAGGCAACGAC